Triticum aestivum (bread wheat) is the source of this 1566-nucleotide long non-coding RNA. RefSeq lists it as uncharacterized. NCBI's taxonomy places the organism in Eukaryota, Viridiplantae, Streptophyta, Magnoliopsida, Poales, Poaceae. The record is from RefSeq and is a predicted model, not a curated record. The transcript has 3 exons.
UAAGCUUAUUCAGAAACCACCUCCCCCGACUACCUUGUUUCUUUUCCCAAGGGGGCGAGCGAGCGAGCGGUGCUCCGGUGCCGCGAGGGAGCGAGCGAGCUCUGGUCUGCCGCUGGUUGCUGCGCCGCCGUGCAGGUCCCGAACAAAACCUGGACCGCACCCACCUCUCCCGCUUUGUCUCUCUCUCUCUCUCCCUCUCUCUCUCAACCCCACAAAUUUGUUCCCUCCCGUGCCUGAUCCAGAUCAAUCGAUGCGCCGCUCCUGUCCCAGCCUCCUCCCCCGCCGGUGGCCAUGCGUGUAUCUCCCCAGCCUCCUUCCCCACCCACGGUCGUGCGUCCCUCCCUAAAGCCUCCUUCCCCGCUAGCCGCGGCACGCCGCCCCAGUAUCCUUCCCCAUUCGGCGGCCUCGAGCACCUCCCCCUCGGCCCUCCGACGACCUCGCGCCCGUCCCCAUCCUCCUUCCUUCCGUGUGGCACCGCCCCACCCCCUGUCGGCCAUCCACCAGGCUCCUAUUUCACGCGUGGUGGCCGCGCCAAUCUCCCCAGUUCAGCUCCCCCUGGCCGCUUGGCGCCUCCCCAUGGCCGCAUGCCCACCGAGACCAGAGGAUUUGCCGUUCUGCAAAAACGGCAGUUAACUCGGGUCGUUGUGUGUAGCUACAUGCGAGGAGCAGCCCCUAGCAACGCGUGGUGCCGAGCACGAGCACCUUGGACCUCCCCUGCACCUUCACCCGGGGUGGCAAGCAUGAAGGCAGCCGGUGCUACUUUGACUCUACGGUCAAGGGUGUACGCAUGAGCUUGUGUUUGAUGUUUCAGCCGUUGUAUCUUCUCAAAACUGGUGGUGCGUGCGCUGCUCAUAGUGGUGAUUAGGAGACUGGGGCAAGGAGCAAAGACAUGCAGAGACAACAGUUAACUUCAGUUAAGUUUUUUACAUUCGUGAAGAUUACAAAGAUGGGAAAAAAGAACAGUUAACUUCAAUAACUUACUUUUAUUAAAGUUCUGUAGUUUUUAACGCGGUUCAGGUAACUUCCCAUUUUUUGAUUGGUUCAGUUAACUUGUUUAGCUUUUAUCGCCACCACUAAAUCUACUACGAACGCGACUUGCUUGUGGUGGUCUUGGUUGAGAAUAAACAAGUGUGCAGAGGGUGAGAGGGAAAUAACAAGGUUGUAGGAGCUCAUGCUACAUGUGUUCGAAGCUACAUGGAGAAGUGGUUCUUCUCUGCCCUGGUUUCCUACCCCGUCUCCUGGUGUGCACUAUGCUCCAUCGACGGCAGCGCCCGCUCCAUGCCGCCCCCGACUGCAGUUAACUUCGAGCGCACUGUGCUGCCCGUCCCAAGAUCCCGCUUCAAUGAGACUACAUGGGAGAUGGGAGAGGGCCGGUGGUGCCUGCAAAUUCGCUGCACAGUAAUAUACUAGGUGUGGAUGCAGUUAGCUCGUCCCUCGUGUAGUAAGAGCAAAACAUAGUGCGUUUCUGCAGUUAUCUGUACUCAAACUUAAUAAUUAACUUUUUGAGAUGUGACAGUUCUUUUGCACUUAUUUAUGAAAAAAAUACACAUAAAUUAUUUCAGUUAA